Molecule: ribosomal RNA, 517 nt
Filed under: uncultured bacterium
Lineage: Bacteria
Description: partial 16S ribosomal RNA
Rfam family: Bacterial small subunit ribosomal RNA
Source: RNAcentral
AACGAACGCUGGCGGCGUGGAUAAGACGUGCAAGUCGAACGGGAUUUUUUUCUGUAGCAAUACAGAGAAAAGUCUAGUGGCGAACGGGUGCGUAACACGUGAGCAACCUGCCGUGAAGUGGGGGAUAGCUCGCCGAAAGGCGAAUUAAUACCGCAUGUGGCCAAGGAAGACAUCUUCCUGACGCCAAAGCCGGGGCAACCUGGCGCUUCUCGAGGGGCUCGCGGCCUAUCAGCUUGUUGGUGAGGUAACGGCUCACCAAGGCUAUGACGGGUAGCUGGUAUGAGAGGAAGACCAGCCACACUGGAACUGAGACACGGUCCAGACACCUACGGGUGGCAGCAGUCGAGAAUUUUUCACAAUGGGGGAAACCCUGAUGGAGCGACGCCGCGUGGAGGAUGAAGGUUUUCGGAUUGUAAACUCCUGUCAUUAGAGAACAAGGCACACGGUUUAACUGGCCGUGUGUUGAUAGUAUCUGAAGAGGAAGAGACGGCUAACUCUGUGCCAGCCGCCGGGGUAA